AACGAACGCUGGCGGCAUGCCUAACACAUGCAAGUCGAACGAGACCUUCGGGUCUAGUGGCGCACGGGUGCGUAACGCGUGGGAACCUGCCCUUAGGUUCGGAAUAACUCCCCGAAAGGGGUGCUAAUACCGGAUAAUGUCUUCGGACCAAAGAUUUAUCGCCUUUGGAUGGGCCCGCGUUGGAUUAGCUAGUUGGUAGGGUAAAAGCCUACCAAGGCGACGAUCCAUAGCUGGUCUGAGAGGAUGAUCAGCCACACUGGGACUGAGACACGGCCCAGACUCCUACGGGAGGCAGCAGUGGGGAAUAUUGGACAAUGGGCAAAAGCCUGAUCCAGCAAUGCCGCGUGGGUGAUGAAGGCCUUAGGGUUGUAAAGCUCUUUUACCCGGGAUGAUAAUGACAGUACCGGGAGAAUAAGCUCCGGCUAACUCCGUG
This 433-nucleotide ribosomal RNA is filed under the name uncultured bacterium. RNAcentral describes it as "partial 16S ribosomal RNA". It matches the Rfam family "Bacterial small subunit ribosomal RNA", at positions 29 to 507 of the family's 1533-position model. The record is from RNAcentral.